UACGGAGGGAGCUAGCGUUGUUCGGAAUUACUGGGCGUAAAGCGCACGUAGGCGGCUUUGUAAGUUAGAGGUGAAAGCCCGGAGCUCAACUCCGGAAUUGCCUUUAAGACUGCAUCGCUUGAAUCCGGGAGAGGUGAGUGGAAUUCCGAGUGUAGAGGUGAAAUUCGUAGAUAUUCGGAAGAACACCAGUGGCGAAGGCGGCUCACUGGACCGGUAUUGACGCUGAGGUGCGAAAGCGUGGGGAGCAAACAGGAUUAGAUACCCCCGUAGUCC
Molecule: ribosomal RNA, 273 nt
Filed under: uncultured bacterium
Lineage: Bacteria
Description: partial 16S ribosomal RNA
Rfam family: Bacterial small subunit ribosomal RNA
Source: RNAcentral